CAGCAGCCGCCGCGGUAAUACGUAGGUGGCAAGCGUUGUCCGGAAUUAUUGGGCGUAAAGGGCUCGCAGGCGGUUUCUUAAGUCUGAUGUGAAAGCCCCCGGCUCAACCGGGGAGGGUCAUUGGAAACUGGGAAACUUGAGUGCAGAAGAGGAGAGUGGAAUUUCACGUGUAGCGGUGAAAUGCGUAGAGAUGUGGAGGAACACCAGUGGCGAAGGCGACUCUCUGGUCUGUAACUGACGCUGAGGAGCGAAAGCGUGGGGAGCGAACAGGAUUAGAUACCCGAGUAGUCCCUGUCUCUUAUAC
This 304-nucleotide ribosomal RNA is filed under the name uncultured bacterium. RNAcentral's name for it is "partial 16S ribosomal RNA". It matches the Rfam family "Bacterial small subunit ribosomal RNA", at positions 506 to 807 of the family's 1533-position model. The record is from RNAcentral.